GAGUUUGAUCGUGGCUCAGAGUGAACGCUGGCGGUAGGCCUAACACGUGCAAGUCGAACGGCAGCACAGUAAGAGCUUGCUCUUACGGGUGGCGAGUGGCGGACGGGUGAGGAAUACAUCGGAAUCUACUUUUUCGUGGGGGGAUAACGUAGGGAAACUUACGCUAAUACCGCAUACGACCUACGGGUGAAAGCAGGGGAUCUUCGGACCUUGCGCGAUUGAAUGAGCCGAUGUCGGAUUAGCUAGUUGGCGGGGUAAAGGCCCACCAAGGCGACGAUCCGUAGCUGGUCUGAGAGGAUGAUCAGCCACACUGGAACUGAGACACGGUCCAGACUCCUACGGGAGGCAGCAGUGGGGAAUAUUGGACAAUGGGCGCAAGCCUGAUCCAGCCAUACCGCGU
RNAcentral lists this ribosomal RNA (400 nucleotides) under uncultured microorganism. Its description in RNAcentral is "bacterial SSU rRNA". It matches the Rfam family "Bacterial small subunit ribosomal RNA", at positions 9 to 402 of the family's 1533-position model. The record is from RNAcentral.